Molecule: long non-coding RNA, 777 nt
Organism: Zalophus californianus (California sea lion)
Lineage: Eukaryota; Metazoa; Chordata; Mammalia; Carnivora; Otariidae
Exons: 3
Source: RefSeq, a predicted model, not a curated record
UCUCUAAACAGACCUCUGUGUGAUCACAGAUAUUACAUUCUUGCAGCAGCUGGCUUGUUUUAUGGCUUGAACUUUUUUCACAUCAGGAAGACUACUGCCUGGCCUUUUCCAGAUAAACAGCUCUGUACCUGGGGUAAAAAUACAAACCUACCAGCUCAGUAGUUACUUAACACUCCUCAGAGAGGAACCAAAUGGGCCCUGCUUGGACACCGUGAGAAGUCUGGAUCUUGGGAGCUGAACCAACAAGGGGCGCUGUAUUGUGCUCAGAGUACUAACCGUAAGAGGAGCCCGAUCUUGAAUAUGAGCCAAGUCUGCAGACAGCACCCAAAGUCCAGAUUCCUUUAAGUCACUCAGUCUUCAAAACCAAAGGCCAGAGGUGAAAAUGGUUAAUUGUGAAAAGUAUGGGAAAGUCAUACCAGCAAGUGCUGUUAUAUUUGGGAUGGCGGUAGAAUGUGCAGAGAUAAGAAGACAUCAUAGCAACCCAGCCAACCUAUCAUCCAGUCUUGAGAGAGUUAGAUGCCAAUCCACUGUGUCCUUCAACCUUGGGGAACACAUAUCAGACUCCUGCUGGUCCAGUUAAAGGCCUGGCUUAAGAUGAGAGGCAGGCAUCCUUUAGAACCUGCCUUUGCAGAUGGUAUAGACUCUGAGUAGAGCUCUCCUGAGAAUUCCUCCUAAGAAGUUGUACUUCCAUGGCCAACAGACACAUGAAGAGAUGCUCAACAUCACUCAUCAUCUGGGAUCUACAAAUCAAAACUACAAUGAGAUAUCACCUCACAC